AGAGUUUGAUCCUGGCUCAGGAUGAACGCUGGCGGCGUGCCUAACACAUGCAAGUCGAGCGAUUCUCUUCGGAGAAGAGCGGCGGACGGGUGAGUAACGCGUGGGUAACCUGCCCUGUACACACGGAUAACAUACCGAAAGGUAUGCUAAUACGAGAUAAUAUACUUUUAUCGCAUGGUAGAAGUAUCAAAGCUCCGGCGGUACAGGAUGGACCCGCGUCUGAUUAGCUAGUUGGUAAGGUAACGGCUUACCAAGGCGACGAUCAGUAGCCGACCUGAGAGGGUGAUCGGCCACAUUGGAACUGAGACACGGUCCAAACUCCUACGGGAGGCAGCAGUGGGGAAUAUUGCACAAUGGGCGAAAGCCUGAUGCAGCAACGCCGCGUGAGCGAUGAAGGCCUUCGGGUCGUAAAGCUCUGUCCUCAAGGAAUAUAAUGACGGUACUUGAGGAGGAAGCCCCGGCUAACUACGUGCCAGCAGCCGCGGUAAUACGUAGGGGGCUAGCGUUAUCCGGAAUUACUGGGCGUAAAGGGUGCGUAGGUGGUUUCUUAAGUCAGAGGUGAAAGGCUACGGCUCAACCGUAGUAAGCCUUUGAAACUGGGAAACUUGAGUGCAGGAGAGGAGAGUGGAAUUCCUAGUGUAGCGGUGAAAUGCGUAGAUAUUAGGAGGAACACCAGUUGCGAAGGCGGCUCUCUGGACUGUAACUGACACUGAGGCACGAAAGCGUGGGGAGCAAACAGGAUUAGAUACCCUGGUAGUCCACGCCGUAAACGAUGAGUACUAGCUGUCGGAGGUUACCCCCUUCGGUGGCGCAGCUAACGCAUUAAGUACUCCGCCUGGGAAGUACGCUCGCAAGAGUGAAACUCAAGGAAUUGACGGGGACCCGCAC
Molecule: ribosomal RNA, 888 nt
Filed under: uncultured Clostridium sp.
Lineage: Bacteria; Bacillati; Bacillota; Clostridia; Eubacteriales; Clostridiaceae
Description: bacterial SSU rRNA
Rfam family: Bacterial small subunit ribosomal RNA
Source: RNAcentral